This 465-nucleotide ribosomal RNA is filed under the name uncultured Klebsiella sp. Its description in RNAcentral is "bacterial SSU rRNA". It matches the Rfam family "Bacterial small subunit ribosomal RNA", at positions 338 to 795 of the family's 1533-position model. Lineage: Bacteria; Pseudomonadati; Pseudomonadota; Gammaproteobacteria; Enterobacterales; Enterobacteriaceae. The record is from RNAcentral.
CCUACGGGUGGCUGCAGUGGGGAAUAUUGCACAAUGGGCGCAAGCCUGAUGCAGCCAUGCCGCGUGUGUGAAGAAGGCCUUCGGGUUGUAAAGCACUUUCAGCGGGGAGGAAGGCGUUAAGGUUAAUAACCUUGUCGAUUGACGUUACCCGCAGAAGAAGCACCGGCUAACUCCGUGCCAGCAGCCGCGGUAAUACGGAGGGUGCAAGCGUUAAUCGGAAUUACUGGGCGUAAAGCGCACGCAGGCGGUCUGUCAAGUCGGAUGUGAAAUCCCCGGGCUCAACCUGGGAACUGCAUUCGAAACUGGUAGGCUAGAGUCUUGUAGAGGGGGGUAGAAUUCCAGGUGUAGCGGUGAAAUGCGUAGAGAUCUGGAGGAAUACCGGUGGCGAAGGCGGCCCCCUGGACAAAGACUGACGCUCAGGUGCGAAAGCGUGGGGAGCAAACAGGAUUAGAUACCCUAGUAGUC